This 545-nucleotide ribosomal RNA is filed under the name uncultured bacterium. RNAcentral's name for it is "bacterial SSU rRNA". It matches the Rfam family "Bacterial small subunit ribosomal RNA", at positions 355 to 896 of the family's 1533-position model. The record is from RNAcentral.
UCUAGAGGCUUCGGCAAUGGGGGCAACCCUGACCGAGCGACGCCGCGUGGAGGAUGACGCCCUUCGGGGUGUAAACUCCUUUCGACCGGGAAAAAGGCCCGGACUUGUUUCGGGAUUGAUGGUACCGGUGGAAGAAGCCACGGCUAACUCUGUGCCAGCAGCCGCGGUAAGACAGAGGUGGCUAGCGUUGUUCGGAUUUAUUGGGCGUAAAGGGCGCGUAGGCGGCCAGGUGCGUCUGGUGUGAAAGCGCUACCGCUCAACGGAGCGAGUGCACUGGAUACGACUUGGCUUGAGUCCGGGAGAGGUGAGUGGAAUUCCUGGUGUAGCGGUGGAAUGCGUAGAUAUCAGGAAGAACACCAGUGGCGAAGGCGGCUCACUGGCCCGGCACUGACGCUGAGGCGCGAAAGCGUGGGGAGCAAACGGGAUUAGAUACCCCGGUAGUCCACGCUGUAAACGGUGGAUACUAGGUGCGGGGGGUAUCGACCCCCUCCGUGCCGCAGGAAACCCAUUAAGUAUCCCGCCUGGGGAGUACGGCCGCAAGGUUG